CAGCAUGUUUCCAAGGGCUGUGGCUGGUUGUAGCCAUGGGCUCUCCAGCUGCAUACAAGAGCAACCUGGAGGGACCCCAACAGCUCAGGUCAGCACAACACCUGUGGCUGCAAUCCACCUUUUCUAUAACG
Molecule: small nucleolar RNA, 131 nt
Organism: Molossus molossus (Pallas's mastiff bat)
Lineage: Eukaryota; Metazoa; Chordata; Mammalia; Chiroptera; Molossidae
Product: small nucleolar RNA SNORA44
Exons: 1
Source: RefSeq, a predicted model, not a curated record